CUACCCUUGACAUGCCAGAAAUCCCGGAGAGAUUUGGGAGUGCCCGAAAGGGAAUCUGGACACAGGUGCUGCAUGGCUGUCGUCAGCUCGUGUCGUGAGAUGUUGGGUUAAGUCCCGCAACGAGCGCAACCCUUAUCAUUAAUUGCCAUCAUUUAGUUGGGCACUUUAAUGAGACUGCCGGUGAUAAACCGGAGGAAGGUGGGGAUGACGUCAAGUCCUCAUGGCCCUUAUGGGUAGGGCUUCACACGUAAUACAAUGGUCGGUACAGAGGGUUGCCAACCCGCGAGGGGGAGCUAAUCUCAGAAAGCCGAUCGUAGUCCGGAUUGUUCUCUGCAACUCGAGAGCAUGAAGUCGGAAUCGCUAGUAAUCGCGGAUCAGCAUGUCGCGGUGAA
RNAcentral lists this ribosomal RNA (392 nucleotides) under uncultured soil bacterium. Its description in RNAcentral is "bacterial SSU rRNA". It matches the Rfam family "Bacterial small subunit ribosomal RNA", at positions 975 to 1366 of the family's 1533-position model. The record is from RNAcentral.